Molecule: non-coding RNA, 92 nt
Organism: Clohesyomyces aquaticus
Lineage: Eukaryota; Fungi; Ascomycota; Dothideomycetes; Pleosporales; Lindgomycetaceae
Source: the annotation of a GenBank genome assembly
GGCUAUAUAGCGCAGUGGGAGCCCGCGCUGUUACAAUUAUGCUAACGGUAACACCUUGGCCAGAGGCACGGGUUCGAGUCCCACUCUCGCCA